GCUCCUACCGAUUGGAUGACUCGGUGAAAUCACCGGAUCCACAUAGUGGAGAAAGUGAUUAAAUCACGUUAUCUAGAGGAAGGAGAAGUCGUAACAAGGUAAC
This 103-nucleotide ribosomal RNA is filed under the name uncultured eukaryote. Its description in RNAcentral is "partial small subunit ribosomal RNA". It matches the Rfam family "Eukaryotic small subunit ribosomal RNA", at positions 1678 to 1803 of the family's 1831-position model. The record is from RNAcentral.